RNAcentral lists this ribosomal RNA (218 nucleotides) under uncultured bacterium. RNAcentral describes it as "partial 16S ribosomal RNA". It matches the Rfam family "Bacterial small subunit ribosomal RNA", at positions 328 to 539 of the family's 1533-position model. The record is from RNAcentral.
ACGCUCGACACCUACGGGAGGCGGCAGUGAGGAAUAUUGGUCAAUGGGUGCUAGCCUGAACCAGCCAAGUAGCGUGAGGGAUGAAGGCUCUAUGGGUCGUAAACUUCUUUUAUAUAAGAAUAAAGUGCAGUAUGUAUACUGUUUUGUAUGUAUUAUAUGAAUAAGGAUCGGCUAACUCCGUGCCAGCAGCUGCGGUAAUCUGAGCGGGCUGGCAAGGC